ACAGAUUAAAUUUGUUUGAAUUUUAUUUUGAAAUCAGGAUUAUAGGUUCAUGGCUUUCAACAGACUCAAGAAUCUGCUAUUAAUUACCCCACACUUUCGGUAUUAAGGAAUCCUCGAUUAAGAGACCAAAUAUAAAUGUUGAUGAUAAAAGAGACAAAACAGGCAAAUAAAAUUUUAUUAAUAUGAUUUGCCGUGUACAUGGCUUAAGCAGCGGCAUACCCCCAUUGUACAUGAAUUUUAUAAGACUAGAAUACUCAGUUUAGUGAUUUGGUGGUCGAUUGAGAUCAGAUUGCUCAGUUUAAUGACAUAGCAGUCAUUUGAAAUAGGUUGAGGUUGAGUUUAAUUUUAAUUUGCUCAGUUUAAUGACGUGGCGAUCAAAAGGAGUUUGAUUUGAUUUGUUCAGUUUAACGAUUUGGCGGUCAAUAGAGUUUGAUUUGAUUUGCUCAGUUUAACGACUUGGCGGUCAAAAGAGUUUGAUUUGAUUUGCUCAGUUUAAUGAUUUGGCGGUCAAUAGAGUUUGAUUCGAUUGUUCAGUUUGACAACUUGAUGGUCAUUCGAUU
This 560-nucleotide long non-coding RNA is filed under the name Ananas comosus (pineapple). RNAcentral describes it as "long non-coding RNA (ACOM_LNC028045)". The record is from RNAcentral. Lineage: Eukaryota; Viridiplantae; Streptophyta; Magnoliopsida; Poales; Bromeliaceae.